This is a long non-coding RNA of Sinocyclocheilus rhinocerous, 270 nucleotides long. RefSeq lists it as uncharacterized. NCBI's taxonomy places the organism in Eukaryota, Metazoa, Chordata, Actinopteri, Cypriniformes, Cyprinidae. The record is from RefSeq and is a predicted model, not a curated record. The transcript is spliced from 3 exons.
ACCUCAGUUACAAUAAUGUUUCGGCACUGAAGAUGUUGGCUGCCCGGACUAACUGGGUCUUAACCUCAGAGAAGAACAAGGUGAGUUUAUACACACUGGAGGAGAACCAGAUGUUGUGCUUUAAGGUGGAGACUCAUGUGGCUGUGGCGGCCGAGCAGGUGUUUCUGUUACUGUCUGAUCUAAGGCGAAGGAAGGCAUGGGACCACCACUACCAAGAGUGUGACGUGAUAACCGACUCAGAUGAAGACGACUCUGUGACUAAAAGAGGCA